RNAcentral lists this ribosomal RNA (481 nucleotides) under uncultured bacterium. RNAcentral describes it as "bacterial SSU rRNA". It matches the Rfam family "Bacterial small subunit ribosomal RNA", at positions 30 to 504 of the family's 1533-position model. The record is from RNAcentral.
UGAACGCUAGCGGCAGGCCUAACACAUGCAAGUCGAGGGGUAACACGAGAGAGCUUGCUUUCUUGGUGACGACCGGCGCACGGGUGCGUAACGCGUAUGCAACCUACCCUGUACUGAGGGAUAGCCCGGAGAAAUCCGGAUUAAUACCUCAUAGUAUUAUUCUUUCGCAUGUUAGAAUAAUUAAAGAUUACGGUACAGGAUGGGCAUGCGUCCCAUUAGCUAGAUGGUAAGGUAACGGCUUACCAUGGCAACGAUGGGUAGGGGGCCUGAGAGGGUGAUCCCCCACACUGGUACUGAGACACGGACCAGACUCCUACGGGAGGCAGCAGUGAGGAAUAUUGGUCAAUGGACGCAAGUCUGAACCAGCCAUGCCGCGUGCAGGAAGAAUGCCCUAUGGGUUGUAAACUGCUUUUAUUUGGGAAUAAACCUCUCCACGUGUGGAGGGCUGAAUGUACCAAACGAAUAAGCACCGGCUAACUCC